AAAUUGAAGAGUUUGAUCAUGGCUCAGAUUGAACGCUGGCGGCAGGCCUAACACAUGCAAGUCGAACGGUAACAGGAAGCAGCUUGCUGCUUCGCUGACGAGUGGCGGACGGGUGAGUAAUGUCUGGGAAACUGCCUGAUGGAGGGGGAUAACUACUGGAAACGGUAGCUAAUACCGCAUAAUGUCGCAAGACCAAAGAGGGGGACCUUCGGGCCUCUUGCCAUCGGAUGUGCCCAGAUGGGAUUAGCUUGUUGGUGGGGUAACGGCUCACCAAGGCGACGAUCCCUAGCUGGUCUGAGAGGAUGACCAGCCACACUGGAACUGAGACACGGUCCAGACUCCU
This 343-nucleotide ribosomal RNA is filed under the name Shigella sonnei. RNAcentral's name for it is "bacterial SSU rRNA". It matches the Rfam family "Bacterial small subunit ribosomal RNA", at positions 1 to 340 of the family's 1533-position model. Lineage: Bacteria; Pseudomonadati; Pseudomonadota; Gammaproteobacteria; Enterobacterales; Enterobacteriaceae. The record is from RNAcentral.